RNAcentral lists this ribosomal RNA (351 nucleotides) under uncultured bacterium. RNAcentral describes it as "bacterial SSU rRNA". It matches the Rfam family "Bacterial small subunit ribosomal RNA", at positions 29 to 289 of the family's 1533-position model. The record is from RNAcentral.
ACGAACGCUGGCGGCGUGCUUAACACAUGCAAGUCGAACGCUUCUAGAGGUUGGAGGUUAGAGGUUAGAAGUUGGAUUGAAAGCCCAAAUCGUGGGCAGAAGGUUUAAAGGAAAGCCUGAGAUCUAAUUUCCAAUUUCCAAUCUCCAACUUCCAGGAGAGUGGCGAACGGGUGAGUAACACGUGGGUGACCUGCCUGGGAGACUGGGAUAACAGCUCGAAAGGGCUGCUAAUACCGGAUGACACCAUGGGGAUAGUCUUCAUGGUCAAAGUGCUUAGCGCUCUCGGAUGGGCCCGCGUCCCAUUAGCUAGUUGGUAGGGUAACGGCCUACCAAGGCGACGAUGGGUAGCCG